GACGAACGCUGGCGGCGUGCUUAACACAUGCAAGUCGAACGGAAAGGCCCUGCGUUUGUGGGUUUCUCGAGUGGCGAACGGGUGAGUAACACGUGAGUAACCUGCCCUUGACUUUGUGAUAACUUCAGGAAACUGGGGCUAAUACCGGAUAGGAUCUCCUGCUGCAUGUUGUUGGUUGGAAAGUGUCGGCGGUUGGGGAUGUACUCGAGGCUUAUCAGCUUGUUGGUGGGGUAGUGGCUUACCAAGGCUUUGACGGGUAGCCGGCCUGGGAGGGUGACCGGCCACAUUGGGACUGAGAUACGGCACAGACUGCUACGGGCGGCAGCAGUGGGGAAUAUUGCAAAAUGGGCGGAAGCCUGAUGCAGAAACGCAGCGUGCGGGAUGACGGACUUCGGGUUGUAAACCGCUUUCGCAUGUGAUGAAGAGUGCGUGACGGUAAUGGGUAAAGAAGCAACGGCUAACUACGUG
Molecule: ribosomal RNA, 468 nt
Filed under: uncultured bacterium
Lineage: Bacteria
Description: partial 16S ribosomal RNA
Rfam family: Bacterial small subunit ribosomal RNA
Source: RNAcentral